UACGGAGGAUUCAAGCGUUAUCCGGAUUUAUUGGGUUUAAAGGGUGCGUAGGCGGUCGGAUAAGUUAGAGGUGAAAUCCCGGGGCUCAACUUCGGAAUUGCCUCUGAUACUGUUCGGCUAGAGAGUAGUUGCGGUAGGCGGAGUGUAUGGUGUAGCGGUGAAAUGCUUAGAGAUCAUACAGAACACCGAUUGCGAAGGCAGCUUACCAAGCUACUUCUGACGUUGAGGCACGAAAGCGUGGGGAGCAAACAGG
RNAcentral lists this ribosomal RNA (253 nucleotides) under uncultured bacterium. Its description in RNAcentral is "partial 16S ribosomal RNA". It matches the Rfam family "Bacterial small subunit ribosomal RNA", at positions 524 to 776 of the family's 1533-position model. The record is from RNAcentral.